This 588-nucleotide ribosomal RNA is filed under the name Klebsiella pneumoniae. RNAcentral describes it as "bacterial SSU rRNA". It matches the Rfam family "Bacterial small subunit ribosomal RNA", at positions 1 to 580 of the family's 1533-position model. The record is from RNAcentral. Lineage: Bacteria; Pseudomonadati; Pseudomonadota; Gammaproteobacteria; Enterobacterales; Enterobacteriaceae.
AAAUUGAAGAGUUUGAUCAUGGCUCAGAUUGAACGCUGGCGGCAGGCCUAACACAUGCAAGUCGAGCGGUAGCACAGAGAGCUUGCUCUCGGGUGACGAGCGGCGGACGGGUGAGUAAUGUCUGGGAAACUGCCUGAUGGAGGGGGAUAACUACUGGAAACGGUAGCUAAUACCGCAUAACGUCGCAAGACCAAAGUGGGGGACCUUCGGGCCUCAUGCCAUCAGAUGUGCCCAGAUGGGAUUAGCUAGUAGGUGGGGUAACGGCUCACCUAGGCGACGAUCCCUAGCUGGUCUGAGAGGAUGACCAGCCACACUGGAACUGAGACACGGUCCAGACUCCUACGGGAGGCAGCAGUGGGGAAUAUUGCACAAUGGGCGCAAGCCUGAUGCAGCCAUGCCGCGUGUGUGAAGAAGGCCUUCGGGUUGUAAAGCACUUUCAGCGGGGAGGAAGGCGGUGAGGUUAAUAACCUUACCGAUUGACGUUACCCGCAGAAGAAGCACCGGCUAACUCCGUGCCAGCAGCCGCGGUAAUACGGAGGGUGCAAGCGUUAAUCGGAAUUACUGGGCGUAAAGCGCACGCAGGCGGUC